Small nucleolar RNA from Mustela putorius furo (domestic ferret), 133 nucleotides. The record is from Ensembl. NCBI's taxonomy places the organism in Eukaryota, Metazoa, Chordata, Mammalia, Carnivora, Mustelidae.
GGCCUCUCUCCCACGGGGCUGUGUGAGGGGUCCCUUUUCUCCUCAGCCAGGGCCAGAGGCCAAGAUCAGCCCUGAAGGAGCAUUGUCGGGGCUGCCGCGAGCUCGCAGCCUUGUUUUCCGGCCUCAGACACCG